CCGGAUCUCAGAUCAAGUAAGAUUACCCGCCGAACUAAG
RNAcentral lists this ribosomal RNA (39 nucleotides) under Pseudo-nitzschia calliantha. RNAcentral's name for it is "partial large subunit ribosomal RNA". Lineage: Eukaryota; Bacillariophyta; Bacillariophyceae; Bacillariales; Bacillariaceae. The record is from RNAcentral.